RNAcentral lists this ribosomal RNA (462 nucleotides) under uncultured beta proteobacterium. RNAcentral's name for it is "bacterial SSU rRNA". It matches the Rfam family "Bacterial small subunit ribosomal RNA", at positions 200 to 642 of the family's 1533-position model. The record is from RNAcentral. Lineage: Bacteria; Pseudomonadati; Pseudomonadota; Betaproteobacteria.
AGAAAAGCAGGGGAUCGUCAAGACCUUGCGUUAAUGGAGCGGCCGAUAUCUGAUUAGCUAGUUGGUGGGGUAAAGGCCCACCAAGGCUUCGAUCAGUAGCUGGUCUGAGAGGACGACCAGCCACACUGGAACUGAGACACGGUCCAGACUCCUACGGGAGGCAGCAGUGGGGAAUUUUGGACAAUGGGCGCAAGCCUGAUCCAGCCAUUCCGCGUGAGUGAAGAAGGCCUUCGGGUUGUAAAGCUCUUUCGCAAGGGAAGAAAACUUACCUUCUAAUAAAGGGUGAGGCUGACGGUACCUUGAUAAGAAGCACCGGCUAACUACGUGCCAGCAGCCGCGGUAAUACGUAGGGUGCGAGCGUUAAUCGGAAUUACUGGGCGUAAAGCGUGCGCAGGCGGUUUUGUAAGUCAGAUGUGAAAGCCCCGGGCUCAACCUGGGAACUGCGUUUGAAACUACAAGGCU